Molecule: transfer RNA, 74 nt
Filed under: Marmota monax (woodchuck)
Lineage: Eukaryota; Metazoa; Chordata; Mammalia; Rodentia; Sciuridae
Description: tRNA.Ala
Rfam family: tRNA
About the family: Transfer RNA (tRNA) molecules are approximately 80 nucleotides in length.
Source: RNAcentral
GCUUAGGGUGGAGCUCAGUGGCAGAGUGCUUGCCUGGCAAGCAUGAGGACCUGGGUUCAAUCCCCAGCCCUGCA